GCAUAUCAAUAAGCGGAGGAAAA
Molecule: ribosomal RNA, 23 nt
Filed under: Tricholoma matsutake
Lineage: Eukaryota; Fungi; Basidiomycota; Agaricomycetes; Agaricales; Tricholomataceae
Also listed under: 1 other name
Description: partial 25S ribosomal RNA
Source: RNAcentral